Molecule: non-coding RNA, 73 nt
Organism: Triticum aestivum (bread wheat)
Lineage: Eukaryota; Viridiplantae; Streptophyta; Magnoliopsida; Poales; Poaceae
Source: Rfam
GCCCGUCUAGCUCAGUCCGUAGAGCGCAAGGCUCUUAAUCUUGUGGUCUUGGGUUUGAGCGCCAAGGAGGGCG